GAAGUCGUAACAAGGUAACCGUAGGAGAACCUGCGGUUGGAUCACCUCCUUUCAGAGAAAGUUC
Molecule: ribosomal RNA, 64 nt
Filed under: Arcobacter sp. CECT 8985
Lineage: Bacteria; Pseudomonadati; Campylobacterota; Epsilonproteobacteria; Campylobacterales; Arcobacteraceae
Description: partial 16S ribosomal RNA
Rfam family: Bacterial small subunit ribosomal RNA (bases 1-52)
Source: RNAcentral